GACGAACGCUGGCGGCGUGCUUAACACAUGCAAGUCGAACGGAAAGGCCCUGCUGUUGUGGGGUGCUCGAGUGGCGAACGGGUGAGUAACACGUGCGUAACUUGCCCUUGACUUUGGUAUAGCUUAAGGAAACUGGGGCUAAUACCGGCCAGGAGCUCCUGCUGCAUGGCGGGGGUUGGAAAGUUUCGGCGGUUGGGGAUGGACUCGCGGCUUAUCAGCUUGUUGGUGGGGUAGUGGCUUACCAAGGCUUUGACGGGUAGCCGGCCUGAGAGGGUGACCGGCGACAUUGGGACUGGGAUACGGCCCAGACUCGUACGGGAGACAGCAGUGGGGAAUAUGGCACAAUGGGCGGAAGCCUGAUGCAGCAGCGCCGCGUGCGGGAUGAUGGCCUUCGGGUUGUAAACCGCUUUCGCCUGUGACGAAGCGUGAGUGACGGUAAUGGGUAAAGAAGCACCGGCUAACUACGUG
This 468-nucleotide ribosomal RNA is filed under the name uncultured bacterium. Its description in RNAcentral is "partial 16S ribosomal RNA". It matches the Rfam family "Bacterial small subunit ribosomal RNA", at positions 28 to 507 of the family's 1533-position model. The record is from RNAcentral.